GGCCCGAUGGCGAAGUAGCAACGCAGGAGUCUGCAAAACUCCCAUGCGCGGGUGCAAUUCCCGCUCGGGCCUCCA
This 75-nucleotide transfer RNA is filed under the name Candidatus Kaiserbacteria bacterium CG10_big_fil_rev_8_21_14_0_10_59_10. Its description in RNAcentral is "tRNA-Cys". It matches the Rfam family "tRNA". Rfam says of the family: Transfer RNA (tRNA) molecules are approximately 80 nucleotides in length. Their secondary structure includes four short double-helical elements and three loops (D, anti-codon, and T loops). Further hydrogen bonds mediate the characteristic L-shaped molecular structure. tRNAs have two regions of fundamental functional importance: the anti-codon, which is responsible for specific mRNA codon recognition, and the 3' end, to which the tRNAs corresponding amino acid is attached (by aminoacyl-tRNA synthetases). tRNAs cope with the degeneracy of the genetic code in two manners: having more than one tRNA (with a specific anti-codon) for a particular amino acid; and 'wobble' base-pairing, i.e. permitting non-standard base-pairing at the 3rd anti-codon position. The record is from RNAcentral. Lineage: Bacteria; Candidatus Kaiseribacteriota.